RNAcentral lists this ribosomal RNA (601 nucleotides) under Salmonella enterica subsp. enterica serovar Enteritidis. RNAcentral's name for it is "bacterial LSU rRNA". It matches the Rfam family "Bacterial large subunit ribosomal RNA", at positions 1 to 630 of the family's 2925-position model. Lineage: Bacteria; Pseudomonadati; Pseudomonadota; Gammaproteobacteria; Enterobacterales; Enterobacteriaceae. The record is from RNAcentral.
GGGUUGUGAGGUUAAGCGACUAAGCGUACACGGUGGAUGCCCUGGCAGUCAGAGGCGAUGAAGGGCGUGCUAAUCUGCGAUAAGCGCCGGUAAGGUGAUAUGAACCGUUAUAACCGGCGAUACCCGAAUGGGGAAACCCAGUGUGAUUCGUCACACUAUCAUUAACUGAAUCCAUAGGUUAAUGAGGCGAACCGGGGGAACUGAAACAUCUAAGUACCCCGAGGAAAAGAAAUCAACCGAGAUUCCCCCAGUAGCGGCGAGCGAACGGGGAGGAGCCCAGAGCCUGAAUCAGCAUGUGUGUUAGUGGAAGCGUCUGGAAAGGCGCGCGAUACAGGGUGACAGCCCCGUACACAAAAGCGCAUGUGCUGUGAGCUCGAUGAGUAGGGCGGGACACGUGGUAUCCUGUCUGAAUAUGGGGGGACCAUCCUCCAAGGCUAAAUACUCCUGACUGACCGAUAGUGAACCAGUACCGUGAGGGAAAGGCGAAAAGAACCCCGGCGAGGGGAGUGAAAAAGAACCUGAAACCGUGUACGUACAAGCAGUGGGCGCACAGGUUUCCCUGUGUGACUGCGUACCUUUUGUAUAAGGUGUCAGCGACUUA